UGUCUUCGUAGGUGAACCUGCGUAGGGAUCAUUUUUGUGAGCGUUUUAUCCGAGGUUAAUAACUAAGGAUAUUUGUGCUCUAGCCAAAUUUUAUUUGGCUUUUGUGCGCCUUAAAAAAGCGCCAAGCUGUUUUUUUUGUCUCUUCAAGUCUUCAUAAUGGAUGACUUGGCUCUUGUAUCGAUGAAGAACGCAGUGAAAGGCGAAACGUAAUGUGAAUCGCAACUAACAGUGAAUCAUCGAAUCUUUGAACGCAGGCCGCACCUUGUAAUAUCACUCUGUGAUAUUACAAGGUAUCUACGUAUGAGUGUCAGCCCAAUAUCAUUUUGGUUCAAGAAGAUGAUUAAAUUUUUUUUUCUCGGAUUCUUGAAUACAUAUCUAUAACAUGUACUUAACAUAUUUUUAAUAUGUCUGGCCUCAUAUGUGGAAGGUUACCCGCUGGAUUUAAGCAUAUCAGUAAGCGG
RNAcentral lists this ribosomal RNA (461 nucleotides) under Allovahlkampfia sp. SG-2014c. RNAcentral's name for it is "eukaryotic LSU rRNA". The stretch from base 146 to 310 matches the Rfam family "5.8S ribosomal RNA". Lineage: Eukaryota; Heterolobosea; Eutetramitea; Acrasida; Acrasidae. The record is from RNAcentral.